GGAGUGUUUUUAAACUUAUGAUUGUGCGAUCAGAAUCAACAAAAGAUUGCGUGAGUCAUAACUUUGAUAAAGGAUGUUGUCUAGAGUACUCUUAUUACAUCAAACAACAAAGUCGUCAAGUAUAAAAUCGUCAAAGUAGAUCUGUGUUCGAGGCGGGUGGUUCGUCGAUAUUCUUCUUGAGGUUGAAGAGAUGGUACGAUCCAUUGUUCAGCACUUUGGUGACGAUGAAAGGACCUUCCCAUGCGGGGGCGAACUUGUGAGGCGCUCGUGAUCCACACGGAGCACAAGAUCACCUUUGUGAAACGAC
This 307-nucleotide long non-coding RNA is filed under the name Hordeum vulgare. Its description in RNAcentral is "long non-coding RNA (HVUL_LNC016255)". The record is from RNAcentral. Lineage: Eukaryota; Viridiplantae; Streptophyta; Magnoliopsida; Poales; Poaceae.